AGAUGACAACUCGAACGAGCAGCACGGACUUCGGUCUGGUGGCGAGUGGCGAACGGGUGAGUAAUGUAUCGGAACGUGCCCUGUAUCGGGGGAUAACUACGCGAAGGCGUAGGUGAUACCGCAUACGCCCUACGGGGGAAAGCAGGGGAUCGCAAGACCUUGCACUAUUGGAGCGGCCGAUAUCGGAUUAGCUAGUUGGUGGGGUAACGGCUCACCAAGGCAACGAUCCGUAGCUGGUUUGAGAGGACGACCAGCCACACUGGGACUGAGACACGGCCCAGACUCCUACGGGAGGCAGCAGUGGGGAAUUUUGGACGAUGGGGGAAACCCUGAUCCCGCCAUCCCGCGUGUGCGAUGAAGGCCUUCGGAUUGUAAAGCACUUUUGGCAGGAAAGAAACGUCGCGUGUUAGUACCUCGCGGAACUGACGGUACCUGCAGAAUAAGCACCGGCUAACUACGUGCCAGCAGCCGCGGUAAUACGUAGGGUGCAAGCGUUAAUCGGAAUUACUGGGCGUAAAGCGUGCGCACGCGGUUCGUAAAGAUCGAUGUGAAAUCCCAGAGCUUAGCUUUGGAACUGCGUUUUUAACUACCGGGCUAGAGUGUGUCAGAGGGAGGUGGAAUUCCGCGUGUACAGUGAAAUGCGGAAUCUGCGGAGGACACCGAUGGCGAAGGCAGCCUCCUGGGAUAUGCUGACGCUCAUGCACGAAACGUGGGGAGCAACCGGAUUAAUACCCUGGUAGUCACGCCCUAACGAUGUCACUAGCCUUGGGACUUCGCACUUGAUGCGCUCUAAGCGUGACGUGACCCCCGGAGAGUCGGUCGCAGAUUAAACUCAAGGAUUGACGGGACCGCACAGCGGAGAUGAUGGGAUUAUUCAUGCACGCGAAAACUUACUACCUUGACUGUCUGAAUCCUGACAGAUUAGGAGGCUCGCAGAGACCGAACACAGUGCUGCAGGAUGUCUCACUCGUGCCUGAAUGUGGUAAUUCCACACGACGCAC
This 1001-nucleotide ribosomal RNA is filed under the name Achromobacter denitrificans. Its description in RNAcentral is "bacterial SSU rRNA". It matches the Rfam family "Bacterial small subunit ribosomal RNA", at positions 53 to 1101 of the family's 1533-position model. Lineage: Bacteria; Pseudomonadati; Pseudomonadota; Betaproteobacteria; Burkholderiales; Alcaligenaceae. The record is from RNAcentral.